CUACGGGAUGCUCCAGUGGGGAAUAUUGCACAAUGGAGGGAACUCUGAUGCAGCAACGCCGCGUGGAGGAUGACACAUUUCGGUGUGUAAACUCCUUUUAUAUAGGAAGAUAAUGACGGUACUAUAUGAAUAAGCACCGGCUAACUCCGUGCCAGCAGCCGCGGUAAUACGGAGGGUGCAAGCGUUACUCGGAAUCACUGGGCGUAAAGCGCAUGCAGGCGGUUAAAUAAGUUGGAAGUGAAAUCCUAUGGCUCAACCAUGGAACUGCUUCCAAAACUGUUUAACUAGAGUCUGGGAGGGGAAGAUGGAAUUAGUAGUGUAGGGGUAAAAUCCGUAGAGAUUACUAGGAAUACCAAAAGCGAAGGCGAUCUUCUGGAACAGUACUGACGCUGAGAUGCGAAAGCGUGGGGAGCAAACAGGAUUAGAUACCCUCGUAGUC
RNAcentral lists this ribosomal RNA (439 nucleotides) under uncultured bacterium. Its description in RNAcentral is "partial 16S ribosomal RNA". It matches the Rfam family "Bacterial small subunit ribosomal RNA", at positions 339 to 795 of the family's 1533-position model. The record is from RNAcentral.